AGUGAACGCUGGCGGUAGGCCUAACACGUGCAAGUCGAACGGCAGCACAGUAAGAGCUUGCUCUUACGGGUGGCGAGUGGCGGACGGGUGAGGAAUACAUCGGAAUCUACUUUUUCGUGGGGGAUAACGUAGGGAAACUUACGCUAAUACCGCAUACGACCUACGGGUGAAAGCAGGGGAUCUUCGGACCUUGCGCGAUUGAAUGAGCCGAUGUCGGAUUAGCUAGUUGGCGGGGUAAAGGCCCACCAAGGCGACGAUCCGUAGCUGGUCUGAGAGGAUGAUCAGCCACACUGGAACUGAGACACGGUCCAGACUCCUACGGGAGGCAGCAGUGGGGAAUAUUGGACAAUGGGCGCAAGCCUGAUCCAGCCAUACCGCGUGGGUGAAGAAGGCCUUCGGGUUGUUAAGCCCUUUUGUUGGGAAAGAAAAGCAGCAGGUUAAUACCCCGCUGUUCUGACGGUACCCAAAGAAUAAGCACCGGCUAACUUCGUG
Molecule: ribosomal RNA, 492 nt
Filed under: uncultured bacterium
Lineage: Bacteria
Description: partial 16S ribosomal RNA
Rfam family: Bacterial small subunit ribosomal RNA
Source: RNAcentral